GAUGAACGCUGGCGGCAGGCUUAACACAUGCAAGUCGAACGGGCACUUCGGUGCUAGUGGCAGACGGGUGAGUAACGCGUGGGAACGUGCCUUUCGGUUCGGAAUAAUCCAGGGAAACUUGGACUAAUACCGGAUACGCCCUUCGGGGGAAAGAUUUAUCGCCGAAAGAUCGGCCCGCGUCUGAUUAGCUAGUUGGUGAGGUAAAGGCUCACCAAGGCGACAAUCAGUAGCUGGUCUGAGAGGAUGAUCAGCCACACUGGGACUGAGACACGGCCCAGACUCCUACGGGAGGCAGCAGUGGGGAAUAUUGGACAAUGGGCGAAAGCCUGAUCCAGCCAUGCCGCGUGAGUGAUGAAGGCCUUAGGGUUGUAAAGCUCUUUUGUCCGGGAAGAUAAUGACUGUACCGGAAGAAUAAGCCCCGGCUAACUUCGUGCCAGCAGCCGCGGUAA
Molecule: ribosomal RNA, 449 nt
Filed under: uncultured bacterium
Lineage: Bacteria
Description: partial 16S ribosomal RNA
Rfam family: Bacterial small subunit ribosomal RNA
Source: RNAcentral